This 270-nucleotide ribosomal RNA is filed under the name uncultured bacterium. RNAcentral describes it as "partial 16S ribosomal RNA". It matches the Rfam family "Bacterial small subunit ribosomal RNA", at positions 524 to 795 of the family's 1533-position model. The record is from RNAcentral.
UACGUAGGGUGCAAGCGUUAAUCGGAAUUACUGGGCGUAAAGCGCGCGCAGGCGGUUUUGUAAGCCAGAUGUGAAAGCCCCGGGCUCAACCUGGGAACUGCAUCCGAGACUGACUUGCUAGAGUAUGGGAGAGGGAAGCGGAAUUUCUGGUGUAGCAGUGAAAUGCGUAGAUAUCAGAAGGAACAUCAGUGGCGAAGGCGGCUUCCUGGACCAAUACUGACGAUCAGGUGCGAAAGCGUGGGGAGCAAACAGGAUUAGAACCGUACGGUC